This 480-nucleotide ribosomal RNA is filed under the name uncultured bacterium. Its description in RNAcentral is "partial 16S ribosomal RNA". It matches the Rfam family "Bacterial small subunit ribosomal RNA", at positions 28 to 523 of the family's 1533-position model. The record is from RNAcentral.
GACGAACGCUGGCGGCGUGCCUAACACAUGCAAGUCGAGCGAGUGAAUCUCCUUCGGGAGUGAAGCUAGCGGCGGACGGGUGAGUAACACGUGGGCAACCUACCUCAUAGAGGGGAAUAGCCUUUCGAAAGGAAGAUUAAUACCGCAUAAGAUUGUAGCUUCGCAUGAAGUAGCAAUUAAAGGAGCAAUCCGCUAUGAGAUGGGCCCGCGGCGCAUUAGCUAGUUGGUGAGGUAACGGCUCACCAAGGCGACGAUGCGUAGCCGACCUGAGAGGGUGAUCGGCCACAUUGGGACUGAGACACGGCCCAGACUCCUACGGGAGGAAGCAGUGGGGAAUAUUGCACAAUGGGGGAACCCCUGAUGCAGCAACGCCGCGUGAGUGAUGACGGCCUUCGGGUUGUAAAGCUCUGUCUUCAGGGACGAUAAUGACGGUACCUGAGGAGGAAGCCACGGCUAACUACGUGCCAGCCGCCGCAGUAA